Molecule: ribosomal RNA, 503 nt
Filed under: uncultured bacterium
Lineage: Bacteria
Description: partial 16S ribosomal RNA
Rfam family: Bacterial small subunit ribosomal RNA
Source: RNAcentral
AUUGAACGCUGGCGGCAGGCUUAACACAUGCAAGUCGAGCGGGGGAGGUUACUUCGGUAAUUGACCUAGCGGCGGACGGGUGAGUAAUACUUAGGAAUCUGCCUAUUAAUGGGGGACAACAUCUCGAAAGGGAUGCUAAUACCGCAUACGCCCUACGGGGGAAAGCAGGGGAUCACUUGUGACCUUGCGUUAAUAGAUGAGCCUAAGUCGGAUUAGCUAGUUGGUGGGGUAAAGGCCUACCAAGGCGACGAUCCGUAGCGGGUCUGAGAGGAUGAUCGGCCACACUGGGACUGAGACACGGCCCGGACUCCUACGGGAGGCAGCAGUGGGGAAUAUUGGACAAUGGGGGGAACCCUGAUCUAGCCAUGCCGCGUGUGUGAAGAAGGCCUUAUGGUUGUAAAGCACUUUAAGCGAGGAGGAGGCUCUUUUGGUUAGUACCCAAGAUGAGUGGACGUUACUCGCAGAAUAAGCACCGGCUAACUCUGUGCCAGCCGCCGCGGUAA